This 468-nucleotide ribosomal RNA is filed under the name uncultured bacterium. Its description in RNAcentral is "partial 16S ribosomal RNA". It matches the Rfam family "Bacterial small subunit ribosomal RNA", at positions 28 to 507 of the family's 1533-position model. The record is from RNAcentral.
GACGAACGCUGGCGGCGUGCUUAACACAUGCAAGUCGAACGGAAAGGCCCUGCUUUUGUGGGGUGCUCGAGUGGCGAACGGGUGAGUAACACGUGAGUAACCUGCCCUUGACUUUGGGAUAACUUCAGGAAACUGGGGCUAAUACCGGAUAGGAGCUCCUGCUGCAUGGUGGGGGUUGGAAAGUUUCGGCGGUUGGGGAUGGACUCGCGGCUUAUCAGCUUGUUGGUGGGGUAGUGGCUUACCAAGGCUUUGACGGGUAGCCGGCCUGAGAGGGUGACCGGCCACAUUGGGACUGAGAUACGGCCCAGACUCCUACGGGAGGCAGCAGUGGGGAAUAUUGCACUAUGGGCGGAAGCCUGAUGCAGCAACGCCGCGUGCGGGAUGACGGCCUUCGGGUUGUAAACCGCUUUCGCCUGUGACGAAGCGUGAGUGACGGUAAUGGGUAAAGAAGCACCGGCUAACUACGUG